GACGAACGCUGGCGGCGUGCCUAACACAUGCAAGUCGAGCGAUGAAACCCUUCGGGGUGGAUUAGCGGCGGACGGGUGAGUAACACGUGGGUAACCUGCCUCAAAGAGGGGAAUAGCCUCCCGAAAGGGAGAUUAAUACCGCAUAAUAUGUUUUAAUCGCAUGAUUGAAACAUCAAAGGAGUAAUCCGCUUUGAGAUGGACCCGCGGCGCAUUAGCUAGUUGGUGAGGUAACGGCUCACCAAGGCGACGAUGCGUAGCCGACCUGAGAGGGUGAUCGGCCACAUUGGAACUGAGACACGGUCCAGACUCCUACGGGAGGCAGCAGUGGGGAAUAUUGCGCAAUGGGGGAAACCCUGACGCAGCAACGCCGCGUGAAUGAUGAAGGCCUUCGGGUUGUAAAGUUCUGUCUUCUGGGACGAUAAUGACGGUACCAGAGGAGGAAGCCACGGCUAACUACGUGCCAGCAGCCGCGGUAAUACGUAGGUGGCAAGCGUUGUCCGGAUUUACUGGGCGUAAAGGAUGCGUAGGCGGACAUUUAAGUCAGAUGUGAAAUACCCGAGCUUAACUUAGGUGCUGCAUUUGAAACUGGGUGUCUAGAGUGCAGGAGAGGUAAGUGGAAUUCCUAGUGUAGCGGUGAAAUGCGUAGAGAUUAGGAAGAACACCAGUGGCGAAAGGCGACUUACUGGACUGUAACUGACGCUGAGG
RNAcentral lists this ribosomal RNA (705 nucleotides) under uncultured bacterium. Its description in RNAcentral is "bacterial SSU rRNA". It matches the Rfam family "Bacterial small subunit ribosomal RNA", at positions 28 to 751 of the family's 1533-position model. The record is from RNAcentral.